RNAcentral lists this transfer RNA (65 nucleotides) under Noteridae sp. MJTNT-2012. RNAcentral's name for it is "tRNA-Ala". Lineage: Eukaryota; Metazoa; Arthropoda; Insecta; Coleoptera; Noteridae. The record is from RNAcentral.
AGGGUAACAGUUAUUAGUAACGUUUGAUUUGCACUCAAAAAAUAUUGACCUAUCAAUUUACCUUG